RNAcentral lists this long non-coding RNA (449 nucleotides) under Helianthus annuus (common sunflower). RNAcentral's name for it is "hypothetical non coding rna". The record is from RNAcentral. Lineage: Eukaryota; Viridiplantae; Streptophyta; Magnoliopsida; Asterales; Asteraceae.
GCACUGUCUAGUGACGGAACGCGCCCGAGCAUUGGAGCAUGCCCGGCGGGAGGAUGGUGUGCCACGAGGCGGAGUAUGUCAGGCAGGAGGCGCUCGUGCCAUGCGCUACGCGGGCGGCGUGCGCGGAUGGCGAAGCAAGUCCGGCGUGCGCGGAUGGCGAAGCAAGUCCGGCGUGUGCAGGCGGCGGAGCAUGUCCGGCGUACGCGGGCGGCGGAGCACGUUGUGCGCGGAUGGCGAGCAAGUCCGGGGUGCACGCGGGCAGCGGAGCAUGUUGUGCGCGGAUGACGGUGGAGCAUGUCCGGCGUGCGCGGGCGGCGGAGCAUGCUGUGCGCGGAUGGCGGAGCAUAUACGUCUUGCGCGGGUGGCGAAGCAAGUCGGGCGUGCGCGGGGGAGGCGGAGCAUGUCCGGCGUGCGCCGGUGGCGGCGGAGCAUGUCCGGCGUGCGCGGAC